UACGCCCUUUCCUGCAGCAGUGCGCCGUUGCCAGUCAUUCCGAAACGAUAUUACCGCAUGAUGAUACCUUGAUUUGUGUGUAAACGAUAAUUAGUCGGUUUAUAAUUCGAAUCGUAUAGGCAUUGUCCGCGUUGACGGUCACGGUGUGCGCGAGCAGUGCGACGAAGUCCCGAAAUUGGGUCGCCUCCUCCGCCUCCACCAGGAUGUCAAUUUAGUUUUUUGGUUAUUAUUUACCUCAAAAUGUUCGGCCGUAAGAUGGAACUUGCGAUGUUUUUCUCCCAAAUCCACAAGGAUUUUGUGUAACUCCUCAGGUGUUUUCAAGUGUUCAAUAGCAGUAUUAAAUGCAAAUCCGGUCCUAAAAGAGUGUGCCAAAAAGUGAACGUUCGAUUCAAGUUCUUCGAAUGGAACAUGAGCGAAGCGAUCGAACUGUAAUUGAUAUGAUGGACUUCUCUUGAAAAGACUUCGCAAAAAAAAGAUUUUCCUGCAAAAGAAUCAACCUUAUACGUUCAUGUCGUACAUGCACGUUGUUGUCAAUUGCGUGUUUACAAUACAUUGUUGUAAAAUUGUAAAGCCGCUUUAAAGUAUACAAACAUACAGUAUUUAUACGUUGUCGAGUAAUAGUACAUAAUAUUACAUGUAUAAGGGUAUAAUGGUUAUGGAAUUAAAAAGCAUGUUGCCGUUGCUGUCUUUGAAUUUGAGGAACAUAUUAUCCUAUUGUGAAGACAAAGUAAGAAUUUUAUAUACCAUUAUAGAUUUAACUGU
Molecule: long non-coding RNA, 762 nt
Organism: Rhopalosiphum padi (bird cherry-oat aphid)
Lineage: Eukaryota; Metazoa; Arthropoda; Insecta; Hemiptera; Aphididae
Exons: 3
Source: RefSeq, a predicted model, not a curated record